GCUGGCAUGCUCUGCCUGAUCGCCAUCCUGCUGUAUGUCCUCGUCCAGUACCUCGUGAACCCCGGGGUGCUCCGCACGGACCCCAGGUAUGAAGCAGCGCCAGGACCCUGACCAGGAGGACCUGGGCCAGAGAAGCCCCUCGGGGUGCAGGACAAGACUGCCAGUCUCAGCCCCAGGCAUGGCUGCACCCGCACUGCACACAGCCCGGGUGGCGAGACAGGGAGGACUUGCCUGCCCUUGUUCCAGAACAUUCCGGAGCCAACACGGUGUGACAUUUUUUUCAAGGAUGAGCUUUGCCAGCUCCACGUGGAAGUCCCUAAAGCUCCUCCUUCCACUUCGAAGCGUGACUGAUGCCUCCAG
RNAcentral lists this long non-coding RNA (360 nucleotides) under Homo sapiens (human). Its description in RNAcentral is "non-protein coding lnc-ZDHHC11-2:4". The record is from RNAcentral. Lineage: Eukaryota; Metazoa; Chordata; Mammalia; Primates; Hominidae.